RNAcentral lists this ribosomal RNA (468 nucleotides) under uncultured bacterium. RNAcentral's name for it is "partial 16S ribosomal RNA". It matches the Rfam family "Bacterial small subunit ribosomal RNA", at positions 28 to 507 of the family's 1533-position model. The record is from RNAcentral.
GACGAACGCUGGCGGCGUGCUUAACACAUGCAAGUCGAACGGAAAGGCCCUGCUUUUGUGGGGUGCUCGAGUGGCGAACGGGUGAGUAACACAUGAGUAACCUGCCCUUGACUUUGGGAUAACUUCAGGAAACUGGGGCUAAUACCGGAUAGGAGCUCCUGCUGCAUGGUGGGGGUUGGAAAGUUUCGGCGGUUGGGGAUGGACUCGCGGCUUAUCAGCUUGUUGGUGGGGUAGUGGCUUACCAAGGCUUUGACGGGUAGCCGGCCUGAGAGGGUGACCGGCCACAUUGGGACUGAGAUACGGCCCAGACUCCUACGGGAGGCAGCAGUGGGGAAUAUUGCACAAUGGGCGGAAGCCUGAUGCGGCAACGCCGCGUGCGGGAUGACGGCCUUCGGGUUGUAAACCGCUUUCGCCUGUGACGAAGCGUGAGUGACGGUAAUGGGUAAAGAAGCACCGGCUAACUACGUG